GCGCGCGUAGGUGGCUUGAUAAGCCGGUUGUGAAAGCCCCGGGCUCAACCUGGGAACGGCAUCCGGAACUGUCAGGCUAGAGUGCAGGAGAGGAAGGUAGAAUUCCCGGUGUAGCGGUGAAAUGCGUAGAGAUCGGGAGGAAUACCAGUGGCGAAGGCGGCCUUCUGGACUGACACUGACACUGAGGUGCGAAAGCGUGGGUAGCAAACAGGAUUAGAUACCCUGGUAGUCCACGCCGUAAACGAUGUCGACCAGCCGUUGGGUGCCUAGAGCACUUUGUGGCGAAGUUAACGCGAUAAGUCGACCGCCUGGGGAGUACGGCCGCAAGGUUAAAACUCAAAUGAAUUGACGGGGGCCCGCACAAGCGGUGGAGCAUGUGGUUUAAUUCGAUGCAACGCGAAGAACCUUACCUACCCUUGACAUCUACAGAAGCCGGAAGAGAUUCUGGUGUGCCUUCGGGAACUGUAAGACAGGUGCUGCAUGGCUGUCGUCAGCUCGUGUUGUGAAAUGUUGGGUUAAGUCCCGUAACGAGCGCAACCCUUGUCCUUAUUUGCCAGCGAGUAAUGUCGGGAACUCUAAGGAGACUGCCGGUGACAAACCGGAGGAAGGUGGGGACGACGUCAAGUCAUCAUGGCCCUUACGGGUAGGGCUACACACGUGCUACAAUGGCCGGUACAAAGGGCUGCGAGCUUGCGAGAGUCAGCGAAUCCCUUAAAGCCGGUCUCAGUCCGGAUCGGAGUCUGCAACUCGACUCCGUGAAGUCGGAAUCGCUAGUAAUCGUGAAUCAGAAUGUCACGGUGAAUACGUUCCCGGGCCUUGUACACACCGCCCGUCACACCAUGGGAGUGGACUGCACCAGAAGUGGUUAGCCUAACGCAAGAGGGCGUCA
RNAcentral lists this ribosomal RNA (889 nucleotides) under Halomonas sp. 6-1. Its description in RNAcentral is "bacterial SSU rRNA". It matches the Rfam family "Bacterial small subunit ribosomal RNA", at positions 565 to 1455 of the family's 1533-position model. Lineage: Bacteria; Pseudomonadati; Pseudomonadota; Gammaproteobacteria; Oceanospirillales; Halomonadaceae. The record is from RNAcentral.